RNAcentral lists this ribosomal RNA (318 nucleotides) under uncultured eukaryote. RNAcentral's name for it is "partial 18S ribosomal RNA". It matches the Rfam family "Eukaryotic small subunit ribosomal RNA", at positions 1470 to 1795 of the family's 1831-position model. The record is from RNAcentral.
CCCUUAGAUGUUCUGGGCAGCACGCGCCCUACAAUGGUCUUCGCAAACGGAUGCAUUCUCGAAGGAGAAUGCCAAUCUUGGAAUCUAUGCCUUGGUCGGGACAGUUGCUUGCAAUUUUUCGACUCGAACCAGGAAUUCCUUGUAAUCGUGAUUCAUCACAUCACGAUGAAUACGUCCCUGCCCUUUGUACACACCGCCCGUCGCUCCUACCGAUCGAAGAGUUAGGUGAAUUGUUUUGAUCGAUAAGAUUUGACUAUGGUCAACUCUCGUUGUGAAAUUCUGUGAAUCUGACUGUUUAGAGGAAGGAAAAGUCGUAAC